RNAcentral lists this ribosomal RNA (270 nucleotides) under Poa sanchez-vegae. Its description in RNAcentral is "partial 18S ribosomal RNA". It matches the Rfam family "Eukaryotic small subunit ribosomal RNA". Lineage: Eukaryota; Viridiplantae; Streptophyta; Magnoliopsida; Poales; Poaceae. The record is from RNAcentral.
UCGUGAUGGGGAUAGAUCAUUGCAAUUGUUGGUCUUCAACGAGGAAUGCCUAGUAAGCGCGAGUCAUCAGCUCGCGUUGACUACGUCCCUGCCCUUUGUACACACCGCCCGUCGCUCCUACCGAUUGAAUGGUCCGGUGAAGUGUUCRGAUCGYGGCGACUGGGGCGGUUCGCUGCCCCCGACGUCGCGAGAAGUCCAUUGAACCUUAUCAUUUAGAGGAAGGAGAAGUCGUAACAAGGUUUCCGUAGGUGAACCUGCGGAAGGAUCAUU